GCGAGCGACCCCCUCUUCCAUGCCUCUCCUCCCUCGCCGCCCCCUUUGCCUUUGCCCUCCCCUCCCUCCGGCCGAAUCAAUCUGAAUCCAAUCCUCAAAAUCCUAAAAUCUCGAAGCAUGGCAAUAAAGUCAGCCAGCAUCUCGUGUUUUCUCCGGUGCGGCUGCGCCGCCGGCGCCGUUAGGCCAUCCCUAUGGGCGCGCAGCGCCGGUUUCCUCGGCCGCGACAGCCGUACCGAUGGAACCGGCUCGAAGCUGUACUGCAGCGCCCCUACUCCCUGGAGCUACGCUCACAACUUCGACUCAGACUCGGAAUCCAUGCCGCCUGGCCCUUGGUGGGGCGAGGCGCUGCUCGAAGAAGACGCCGAGUUUUUUCCUCUUGCCGAUUUUAUUCCAGUUGGGCAGGGCAGGAAAGAACUAGAUGCUAUAUGGCAUGCCCUGGUCGCUGGCCCGCUCGAAUCCAUCAUCCUCACGCUGCGCGAGAUCAUGGCCGCCGGCAACUUGUUCCGCUGCCGCAGCUUCCAUGUCGGCACUCUCUCAGGUGCUUUGCUAGUUCUUGCUGCGUUUUGCCAACUCUGCAAAACGACACCUACCCUUUUCAUGGACAUUGUUCUUGGGUAUGUGUUCUACAAGCUAAGUGUUUUAUCUGCACAGUUGCAAAAAGAUGGCAGGUCAUUUAGCAUAUGUGCACGGAUACAGCUAGUUCUUCUACUUAUUUUGUCUUUCAAGGAUAACAGUGCAUUUCAGGGUUUCUACCGCUUUCUUGUGGAAUUGAUCUGGUGCGCCUAGGCAUUCCAUGCGGACAUUGCACGGGAAGUACAGCAGGAGCUGACCUGCAUAAAGAAAUCAAGGGAAGACCGGGAGAGGAACCUAUAUGCCUAGGCAGAGUACAGCAGCAGCACAAAAUCGUGGGGAGACCGGUAAAGAAACCAGGAGCUCACCUGCCUGAAGAAAUACCAACAUGAGAACGAACUGAGAAGGAGGUUAGGAGCGCGCGGUGACACGUGGAGUAUAUCGAGGGCGGGCAGCCGGUGACGUGAGGAGAAGGAGCUCGAUGUCAAGCUUAGGGAUGUGAAGAGGAGCUCUGAGUGACAGACGGUGUGACAAGGAGGAGCUCAAGGUUGAGGUUAGUGGUGUGACAAGGAAGAGUUUCUGAUCCGGCGCAGGCGGCUCAAGGGAGGUGCUCAAUAUUUACAUGUAUUUCAUUAUGGCCUAUGAGGCGACCGUCGGUGUGAAGCAUGGCAGACUCUACUGGCUUGCAAUCUAUAGAUGGAUGCAGACGAAAGGAGGCCUGAUGAAGGUGCUGAAGCAUACCUUUCUUGAUAUCUUUGGAGGAAAUAAGAAGCCAGUCUCGAUAAAAAGAAGGAAUAGAAAGCGGCAGUAGGGAGAUGCAAAUAGGG
Molecule: non-coding RNA, 1397 nt
Organism: Triticum urartu
Lineage: Eukaryota; Viridiplantae; Streptophyta; Magnoliopsida; Poales; Poaceae
Source: RefSeq, a predicted model, not a curated record